ACACUCAGACUCCACUGCACAGUACAAGCCUGUGCAAAUCAACAUCACAAAACAAUACAUGGAAUGCAGUACCAUAGUAGACCUCCAAGACAUAGCAAAACAGUGGAUAAUAUGAAAGUCCCCAUGGGUAGUUGAUUAUGAAGUUCUUUACCUGAAGAAUCUAAUCUUCUAAUCCAUUUUAAGCUCAUUCUUUUUUUCAUAAAUAUUUAUUAAGCAUCUCCCACGUAGGGUUUGAAACAUCAGGAAUUCAAAGAUAGAUAAUGUUUUUAUAUAUUCCAAACCCAGUUUAGAACUUAGGGAAGAAAGUCUAGACAGAGUUUGUUCUCAAAGCGAUGGGUAGAUUAGGAAAUGAAAAUAAAAACAUCCAUGUUUAGCUGGGGCAGAUGUCCCACAGCCCUCACUGUCAGGCAAAGGCUAAAUAUAUAAUUAUACGGGGCUGAUUUGGAAGGCAAAUAAACAAACAGGAAAUGUAAGCAUUGUUUUAAAAGACUAAAUCUAAGUUUCAGGGAUUGAAUAGGAAAUACAAGCAGUAAUUUCCUUGUGGCUAGGCAGGAAAUAUAUAAUCAAGGAAAGUCAAGCUUCUGCCUAGAACAAAUGACAAGUAGGUAGAAUGUGAGGAAAUAGAUAAAUGCCAGCCUGAGUCUGAAGUGUAUUAGAGCUUCCACUGAGGAAGCCAGCCAUGGCAUUAUCACAGAUGAGCACUCUUCUGCAUAGGGAUCAGGACAUCUCUGAUAUAAGACAGGUUUAUUCCCAUCACAUUUCUUACCC
RNAcentral lists this long non-coding RNA (768 nucleotides) under Homo sapiens (human). RNAcentral's name for it is "non-protein coding lnc-PTGER4-8:1". Lineage: Eukaryota; Metazoa; Chordata; Mammalia; Primates; Hominidae. The record is from RNAcentral.